CUACUAGGGUUUCUAAUCCCGUUUGCUCCCCUGGCUUUCGCGCCUCAGCGUCAGUGGGGACCCAGCGGACCGCUUUCGCCACCGGCGUUCCUUCCGAUAUCAACGCAUUUCACCGCUCCACCGGAAGUUCCGUCCGCCCCUAUCCCCCUCGAGCUCCGCAGUAUCGGGGGCCCUUUUCCGGUUGGGCCGAAAGAUUUCACCCCCGACUUGCCGAGCCGCCUACGCGCCCUUUAAGCCCAGUGAUUCCGAACAACGUUCGCACGGUUCGUCUUACCGCGGCUGCUGGCAC
Molecule: ribosomal RNA, 289 nt
Filed under: uncultured Planctomycetaceae bacterium
Lineage: Bacteria; Pseudomonadati; Planctomycetota; Planctomycetia; Planctomycetales; Planctomycetaceae
Description: partial 16S ribosomal RNA
Source: RNAcentral